RNAcentral lists this unclassified non-coding RNA (320 nucleotides) under Hevea brasiliensis (rubber tree). Lineage: Eukaryota; Viridiplantae; Streptophyta; Magnoliopsida; Malpighiales; Euphorbiaceae. The record is from RNAcentral.
UGCUAGACUGCUUUGGCAUGGUUCCAGAAUCUUCGAUGUGAAAGGAAUAACUGCAAUCAUCAAACCUUUUUCAUAUGCCUCAAUAAUCAAAGACUUCGGAUCAAUCUCUCGCGCCCUCAAGACAUGAUUCUUUCCAAUUGUGAUUUUGCCUAGCCAGCUUCCAAGGUUUUUCAGCAAAGAACGCUCUUCCGAACUUGACUUUAUCAACUCUGACCCUAAAAGAACCUUGCAGUUCUCGUAGGUUGCUUGGACAAUCUCCUUGAACAGAGAUUUUGAAUUGGCUUUAUCUAAGAACUUCAGGUACAAGUCAUGAAAAUUUG